This 867-nucleotide long non-coding RNA is filed under the name Elaeis guineensis (African oil palm). RNAcentral describes it as "long non-coding RNA (EGUI_LNC006820)". The record is from RNAcentral. Lineage: Eukaryota; Viridiplantae; Streptophyta; Magnoliopsida; Arecales; Arecaceae.
CCGACACCAGUAAUCUCAUGCCAAAUUGAAUGAAAUGAAUAUGUAGUGGGCCAAGAAAUAACAAUUCCCACCUGAUAUCUAGGAUUUAAGAAUCAAUGUGCAUAUCCCUGGAAUUUCUGCUACAAAAUUUAAGAUAACAACUUGCAUCCGUUGAUAUGAAGAAUAUCUAUGAGAAUAUUCUUGCAUACAUCUCCUUGGAAAUCAAAUCCUGUUUCCUUCGCAAACUGUUCUACUCCAGCCAAAUUGUGAAUUUGAUCAAUGACCUGUCACACCUCGAAUCCAACAGCUGGAUCGGAUACGUGAUGGCCGCACACUCCUUAGAGCAUGCCCUAAAAAAUAUACAAGGCCAAAAAUAAUUCCAUACAAUCUCAACAUUCAUAAUAUCUAAUUUCAAUAAUAACUUGUAAAACUUGCAUAAUUACAAUUGAAAUUCUUUCAAUCUUCUGAUCAGAUAUCAUGACAUUCUAUCUAUUCAUCUGCUCACCCGCAAUCCAAACCAUAGUCAAUCAUGAGCAUCCUAUAUCUCUGAGAAGAAAAAGAAAGAUGAAGGGGUGUGACCUUUACAGCCAAGUAAGAAUUCUCAUAUCACACUAAUAUAAUAAUAUAAUCUAAAAAUAAGAAUAAGUAAUAAAACAUAAAAUCUCAUAUUCAAUAUCCGGAAUAAUGCAAACAUCUAUAAAUUAUCUGUCUUGUCAAAAGAGAUGCAUCAUCAUAUGUUAAUGGAUGAAAUACUUUUGUUCGACAAUUAUUUCAUAUCUUAUCUUUCAUUUCUCUUUUCAUAAUCACAUGAUUUUUAACCUUUUCUUUCUGACUCUGGACUAACCAAAUCUAUAUCUCAGUCUUUAUCCGAACAAAUUUUUACUCAAA